RNAcentral lists this long non-coding RNA (763 nucleotides) under Nicotiana benthamiana. Its description in RNAcentral is "long non-coding RNA (NBEN_LNC027049)". The record is from RNAcentral. Lineage: Eukaryota; Viridiplantae; Streptophyta; Magnoliopsida; Solanales; Solanaceae.
CUUUGCUCAAAAUUAACUCUGGGUCUGAAAAUAGGGGGUCUAGGCACUGUGGCCUGAUUAAACCCAACUGAGUGCUUGUUUGCAUGAGCAUUAAAAUACAUAGAGUCUGGAAUGAUUUGAGAAAUAGAUUGAACUUGUCUCUAUUUCUCAUCAUUAAGCACUAUACUGUAAACAGUGUCAAGGGAAGGAAAUGGCUGCAUCAUCAACAGAUUACUCCUAACCCCCAUGUAUGCUUCAUUUAACCCCAUAAGAAACUGGAAUACCUUGUUUUCAUCAUCUUCCUCAAUUAUUCCAUUUUUAGUAGCACACACACAUCUCUGCCCAUGAUUUGUGCACAUUGUGCCCAACUCAUCCCACAAGCCUCUGAGCUUGUCAAAUUAUGAGGCUACGUCUAAGUAGCCUUGAGAUGUGUGGGGGAAAGUUCCCUUUUUAAUUCAAAGAUUUUGGUCUUGUUAGGGGUACCAUAUCUUUUCUCAAUUUGGGACCAUAUACUCUGCGCAGUAUCAGAAUACUGCACACUAUCAGCAAUCUGAGGAGACAGGGAAGAGGUCACCCAGGAAAUAACCAUGUUAUUACAUCUAUCACACAGUCUCUGUUGAGCCACAUUAGUAGUAGGUCGAGGACAUGAGCCGUCAACAAAUCCGAUUUUGUUAUUAGCAGAUAAUGCAACAAUCAUCUUUCGCCUCCAACCCCCAUAACCACUACCCGAGAAGGGAGUGGGGACAAGAGAGACCCCAGGGACAUCAGAGGAAUAUACAAAAAG